Molecule: long non-coding RNA, 1241 nt
Organism: Lolium perenne
Lineage: Eukaryota; Viridiplantae; Streptophyta; Magnoliopsida; Poales; Poaceae
Source: RefSeq, a predicted model, not a curated record
GACAAAAGGAAAAAAGGAAACGAAGUGGAGAGAGAUCAUCGAUAAAAAAAGGGAAAACGAUUGUAUUCCCCCGGGGGAUCACGCUCCGCGCAUCCUCCGGGUGCGUGGCCGUUGGAUCAGCUCCAUCGCGUGGACGUGCUAGCGUCCGACCCGCGAGACAGGUCAUGGGUGGGGGCCACCACGACCUUAUCGUCUCCAUCUUCUCUUCUUUUCGUUCUCGCACAGGAAUUCCUCUGGCACCUGCUCGUGGCGCACAAUCCCGAUCCCCAAUCCAACUGCCCCAUACGGCCGCCUCUUCGCUCGCAAGGAACAUCGUCGACGAGUCAUCGCCGGAGAGAGUAGGGCCCUCUCGCCGGUUCCCGUCCGCAAACGCCUCCGGGCCACAUCGACCCGCUGGAGCCGCCGCGCCCUCGUCAUCGUCGGCCGUCCCCCAAGGAGAUCCGCCUGCCGUCCCCCACGGUGGUGGCGCAGCGGCCCAUGGCUGGUCGUCGAUGAAGCUCCAUCUGUUGUGCCGCCGUUUCUUCCUCUCGCCGUCGCCGACCUCCCUCUCAUCAACCUCCCCGGUCGGCGCUGUUCCCUGGCCUCCGCACCUUCGUCCUUGAGCUGACCGAAGCAGCUAGAGGAGGUGGGUGCAUCUGCUUUUUCCGCGGCGGCAGGUGUCUAUGGAGGCAGUGAGCGGCGUGAGGGGCGGCAGCGAAAGUCGCGUGGCCUUCUCUUGCUGCGAGGUGUGCGGAUGUGCUGCGAGGAGAGGACGGCUCACGACAACGCUGCUGCGGGCGCCACCGACGUUUGGGCCGGCCGCCACUGCGCGCCGCGACAGCGUCGCCCGCCUAGCUCGCCGCCGCCGGUCGGGCUCACGACGCGGUAGAGCUCCUCAGUGGUGACAGCUGCGCCGUCCAGCCGAGCUCUCUGCGCCUCCUGCUAUGAUUUCUGGAUGACUGCCUUUUGCACUGUCGCGGGGUGAGUCUGGCUUUCCUGGAUGUCCCAACCAUAGUGCUACCAUUGGCCAACAAGGGUGCUACCAACGCUGGACGGGGAAGCUACACAUGGUAUUCCGAGUUGCUACUGUAUGGUGUCCUGAUUUGGGACUUUGCUCCGCCAGCUACAUAGAUAUAUAAUUUUGCUAUUUUUGCUACCUCAAAGUGCUACGAAGCCACGAUGCUACAAUAGUAUAUUUCUUUGCUACAAUUAUUAAAACUGUUUUGCUACUUUUGGUACAAAAUUAAGCUACGAUUUUCCGA